GUGCUUUGGCAGCACAUAUACUAAAAUUGGAACGAUGCAGAGAAGAUUAGCAUGGCCCCUGCACAAGGAUGACACACAAAUUCAUGAAGCGUUCUGUAUUUUU
Molecule: small nuclear RNA, 103 nt
Organism: Gorilla gorilla gorilla (western lowland gorilla)
Lineage: Eukaryota; Metazoa; Chordata; Mammalia; Primates; Hominidae
Source: Ensembl